This 88-nucleotide unclassified non-coding RNA is filed under the name Pseudomonas orientalis. The record is from RNAcentral. Lineage: Bacteria; Pseudomonadati; Pseudomonadota; Gammaproteobacteria; Pseudomonadales; Pseudomonadaceae.
UGUGGGAGGGGGCUUGCCCCCGAUAGCGGAGUGUCAGUCGAAUAUUUAUAACUGAUACACCGCCAUCGGGGGCAAGCCCCCUCCCACA